CGCGGCGUAGCUCAGUGGCAGAGCGCCGGGUUCAUACCCCGGAUGGCACAGGUUCGAUUCCUGCCGCCGCAACCA
This 75-nucleotide transfer RNA is filed under the name Achromobacter xylosoxidans. Its description in RNAcentral is "tRNA-Met". It matches the Rfam family "tRNA". From Rfam's summary of the family: Transfer RNA (tRNA) molecules are approximately 80 nucleotides in length. Their secondary structure includes four short double-helical elements and three loops (D, anti-codon, and T loops). The record is from RNAcentral. Lineage: Bacteria; Pseudomonadati; Pseudomonadota; Betaproteobacteria; Burkholderiales; Alcaligenaceae.